AUGAACGCUGGCGGCGUGGAUAAGUCAUGCAAGUCGAAUGAUUCAAUUGCGAUUACAUCAAGAUUGAAGAGUGGCGAACGAGUUAGUAACACAUUGGUACAUACCUUUUAGUCGGGCAUAACACCGCGAAAGCGGUGCUAAUUCUCGAUGGCAUCGUAAGAUUAAAGGAGCAAUCCGCUAAAAGAGUGGCCUAUGUCCUAUCAGCUUGUUGGUGAGGUAAUGGCUCACCAAGGCUAUGACGGGUAGGGGACCUGAGAGGGUGACCCCCAACGAGGAGACUGAGACACGGCUCCUACACCUACGGGUGGCAGCAGACGAGAAUAUUCGACAAUGGGCGAAAGCCUGAUCGAGCGACGCCGCGUGCAGGAAGACGGCCUUCGGGUUGUAAACUGCUUUUGCGUGGGAAAAAUUUUGAUUGUACCACGAGAAUAAGGGGCUGCUAACUUCGU
This 449-nucleotide ribosomal RNA is filed under the name uncultured bacterium. Its description in RNAcentral is "bacterial SSU rRNA". It matches the Rfam family "Bacterial small subunit ribosomal RNA", at positions 29 to 506 of the family's 1533-position model. The record is from RNAcentral.